CCAGGAGGAUUACCAUUGUCUAUUCAAAGAAGGCUUUGGGUAGGGCCCCUCAGUCAGAUUAUCCUUAUGUAGGUGGAGAACAUAAACUUGGAAACUUAAUUGGAAUUUGAAGAAAUGCUAUUAGAAUUUUAGGAAGUCAUUCGUAUUCCAUUUCUGAGACGUGACCUGGAUAGAAUUCUGAAGAACACUCCAAAAAUAUUAGAACAAAGAGAAACUUGUUCCUCCAACCUUAAAAAAAGAAGAGUGGCUGAGUGCCAUGGCUCACGCCUGUAAUCCCAGCACUUUGGGAGGCUGAGACUUCACGGAGUGAGAAAACGCUAUGAAGCCCAGGAAGCAGGAGUUCAUGAAGAGGGUGUUGAACAGGGACCAGACGACGUGGUCGGGCACGGAGGU
Non-coding RNA from Callithrix jacchus (white-tufted-ear marmoset), 393 nucleotides. The record is from RefSeq and is a predicted model, not a curated record. NCBI's taxonomy places the organism in Eukaryota, Metazoa, Chordata, Mammalia, Primates, Cebidae.